CCUACGGGUGGCAGCAGUGAGGAAUAUUGGUCAAUGGGCGCGAGCCUGAACCAGCCAAGUAGCGUGAAGGAUGACUGCCCUACGGGUUGUAAACUUCUUUUAUAAAGGAAUAAAGUGAUGCACGUGUGCCUUUUUGUAUGUACUUUAUGAAUAAGGAUCGGCUAACUCCGUGCCAGCAGCCGCGGUAAUACGGAGGAUCCAAGCGUUAUCCGGAUUUAUUGGGUUUAAAGGGUGCGUAGGCGGAUUGUUAAGUCAGAUGUGAAAGGUCGGGGCUUAACUCGAGAACUGCAUUUAAUACUGGCGGUCUUGAGAACAGAUGAGGUAGGCGGAAUGUAUGGUGUAGCGGUGAAAUGCUUAGAGAUCACACAGAACUCCGAUUGCGAAGGCAGCUUACUAAACUAUAUCUGACGUUGAGGCACGAAAGUGUGGGGAGCAAACAGGAUUAGAUACCCGAGUAGUC
RNAcentral lists this ribosomal RNA (460 nucleotides) under uncultured bacterium. RNAcentral describes it as "partial 16S ribosomal RNA". It matches the Rfam family "Bacterial small subunit ribosomal RNA", at positions 338 to 795 of the family's 1533-position model. The record is from RNAcentral.